Homo sapiens (human) is the source of this 1150-nucleotide long non-coding RNA. Ensembl annotates it as long intergenic non-protein coding RNA 1322. The record is from Ensembl. NCBI's taxonomy places the organism in Eukaryota, Metazoa, Chordata, Mammalia, Primates, Hominidae.
UUUUUUUUCUGCCUUCAGACUCAAACUAAACGUCAGCUUUUCCCGGCUCUCAAGCCUGCUGGUCCCUGAACUAAAACUCACAUUAUCAACUCUACUGGUUCUUAGGCCUUUGGAGUCAGACUGGAACUACAGCAUUGACUCUUCCGGAACUCCAGCUUACUGACUACAGAUCUUGGAACUUUUCAGCUUCCACAACCAUGCUUUGGUAUCAGGAUGAUGCUGGCCUCAUAAAAUGAGUCAGGGAGGAUUCCCUCUUUUUCUAUUGAUUGGAAUAGUUUCAGAAGGAAUGGUACCAGCUCCUCUUUGUACCUCUGGUAGAAUUCAGCUGUGAAUCCAUCUGGUCCUGGAGUUUUUUUGAAUGAAAGCCAAGCAUAUUCCAUCAUUUCCUAAAACCAAGAUAGAGCACAUAUGGGAACUUGUGAAAUAAGGAUGCCCUGCGGUUGUUUUCAGGACUGAAGACAACAGCUCCACGAUGUAUCUUUGCAUAAGAAUACACUUGUAUAAUAAGUUUUUUUUUUUAGAGAAAUUGCAUGUAUCUGCCUUAUAAACUUUUUCAUUCAUUCAUUUUCUUUCUUCCUAAUCUGUUCCAUAAAGCAAAUUUCUAACUUAUUGUUAAUCAAAAUAAUUAUUGAAAUAAUUAGUACUUUCAUAUGAUAAAGAUUAUUUUAAUCUGCAGCUACAAAAUAUGUAACUCAUUAAUAUUUAAACAAUCACAAUUUUCUAUUAACAUUAUAGCAUUUUAUCUACUACUAGAUCAGGAAUUAGCUAUUUUUUGUAAAAUUUCUUUGUAAGGCAAAGCAAUAGUAUUGUAUAUACUUUCCUAAAGAUUGUCAAGUUCAGUUUUGCUUAAAUUUAACAGUACAUGUGACACUUUCUGUUUGAAGAAUAAGUUGGUUUUAAGUUUAUACCAAACAAAAGCAUCUCUUUUGUUUUGCAAAAUCUGAAACUUUGAUCUUUCUAGUUGUGACUUCUUGUAAAUAUGUUUUAUAUAAAUAUUCUAUGAAUUGGUUAUUAACAAGGUAAAGAAAGAUUGAUAUGUAAGCUGAUUCUUAAACAUUAAUUUUCUGGAGAUAAACUUUUUUAAAAUUAUGCUUUAAAAAUAUUUUAACACAUGUUAUCAAAAAGGAACUGAAAUAUCUUAGGCAUAAAA